Molecule: transfer RNA, 70 nt
Filed under: Bos taurus (domestic cattle)
Lineage: Eukaryota; Metazoa; Chordata; Mammalia; Artiodactyla; Bovidae
Also listed under: 3 other names
Rfam family: tRNA
About the family: Transfer RNA (tRNA) molecules are approximately 80 nucleotides in length.
Source: Rfam by way of RNAcentral
CCUGGAGAUCCAGUGGUUAAGACUCUGCACUUCUAAUGCAGGGGGUGUGGGUUCGAUCCCUCAUCCAGGA